GUGAGGAAUAUUGGGCAAUGGGCGAAAGCCUGACCCAGCCACGCCGCGUGAGUGAUGAAGGCCUUCGGGUUGUAAAGCUCUGUGGGGAGGGAAGAAAAAGCGCAGGAGUAACUGCCUGUGUGUUGACGGUACCUCCUUAGCAAGCACCGGCUAACUCUGUGCCAGCAGCCGCGGUAAUACAGAGGGUGCAAACGUUGCUCGGAAUUACUGGGCGUAAAGCGCGUGUAGGCUGACAUGCAAGUCGGGUGUGAAAUCCCAGGGCUCAACCUUGGAACUGCACUCGAAACUGCACGUCUUGAGUACUGGAGAGGGAAGCGGAAUGCCGGGUGUAGAGGUGAAAUGCGUAGAUAUCCGGAGGAACACCAGUGGCGAAGGCGGCUUCCUGGACAGUAACUGACGCUGAGACGCGAAAGCGUGGGGAGCAAACAGGAUUAGAAACCCCUGUAGUCC
RNAcentral lists this ribosomal RNA (450 nucleotides) under uncultured bacterium. RNAcentral describes it as "partial 16S ribosomal RNA". It matches the Rfam family "Bacterial small subunit ribosomal RNA", at positions 354 to 796 of the family's 1533-position model. The record is from RNAcentral.